RNAcentral lists this unclassified non-coding RNA (302 nucleotides) under fungal sp. Its description in RNAcentral is "partial internal transcribed spacer region". The stretch from base 1 to 46 matches the Rfam family "Eukaryotic small subunit ribosomal RNA", at positions 1786 to 1831 of the family's 1831-position model. Lineage: Eukaryota; Fungi. The record is from RNAcentral.
AAGUCGUAACAAGGUAUCCGUAGGUGAACCUGCGGAUGGAUCAUUAUCACGUUAUCCACGUAUAAACCAAUCGUUGAACAGUUAUUGUUACCUUUGUUAGUAUGGAUUUUUUUGGGGAAACCCUAAAAAUCUUGAACACAAAGUGUAUUACUAUUCUAAUACUAUAUUAACCAAUCGAACCAUUUCUAUAAUGUUUUUCUUUGUGUGAACUGAAUUGUUUCUUACUCGUCAUUCACUUGGUGAGAAGAAAACUAUUUACGAAACAUAUCGAACAACUCUUAGCAACGGAUAUCUUGGUUCUC